Molecule: long non-coding RNA, 236 nt
Filed under: Elaeis guineensis (African oil palm)
Lineage: Eukaryota; Viridiplantae; Streptophyta; Magnoliopsida; Arecales; Arecaceae
Description: long non-coding RNA (EGUI_LNC077337)
Source: RNAcentral
CCACCUUUCUCUUUUUGCACACAAACGAUUUUCUAAUUAACUUUAGAAGAAAAAUCAUGUGAAGAAAAUUUAUCUGUCCGAAGAAAAGAUCUCCAAAGACCAUCAAUCUUCUGAUUACCCAAAUUGGGAGUUUGAAAAUGGACAAGGAAGAUAAGGAAGAGAUAUAAAAAUAUCAUUGAUCAAAGUGAGUCGAACCAUCGAAGGAGAGGCAAUUGCUUUUCUAAGAAGUCAAUUUA